GAACGCCGUGUGAAAUGAAAGUUUCAUGCACGGUGUGGAGUGGGGGAAAAUCCGGAGAUAACUUCAAAGGAUUACCUAUCACUAU
This is a non-coding RNA of Clostridium sp. FS41, 85 nucleotides long. Lineage: Bacteria; Bacillati; Bacillota; Clostridia; Eubacteriales; Clostridiaceae. The record is from Rfam.